This 433-nucleotide ribosomal RNA is filed under the name uncultured bacterium. Its description in RNAcentral is "partial 16S ribosomal RNA". It matches the Rfam family "Bacterial small subunit ribosomal RNA", at positions 29 to 507 of the family's 1533-position model. The record is from RNAcentral.
AACGAACGCUGGCGGCAUGCCUAACACAUGCAAGUCGAACGAGACCUUCGGGUCUAGUGGCGCACGGGUGCGUAACGCGUGGGAACCUGCCCUUAGGUUCGGAAUAACUCCCCGAAAGGGGUGCUAAUACCGGAUAAUGUCUUCGGACCAAAGAUUUAUCGCCUUUGGAUGGGCCCGCGUUGGAUUAGCUAGUUGGUAGGGUAAAAGCCUACCAAGGCGACGAUCCAUAGCUGGUCUGAGAGGAUGAUCAGUCACACUGGGACUGAGACACGGCCCAGACUCCUACGGGAGGCAGCAGUGGGGAAUAUUGGACGAUGGGCGAAAGCCUGAUCCAGCAAUGCCGCGUGAGUGAUGAAGGCCUUAGGGUUGUAAAGCUCUUUUACCCGGGAUGAUAAUGACAGUACCGGGAGAAUAAGCUCCGGCUAACUCCGUG